RNAcentral lists this ribosomal RNA (468 nucleotides) under uncultured bacterium. RNAcentral's name for it is "partial 16S ribosomal RNA". It matches the Rfam family "Bacterial small subunit ribosomal RNA", at positions 28 to 507 of the family's 1533-position model. The record is from RNAcentral.
GACGAACGCUGGCGGUGUGCUUAACACAUGCAAGUCGAACGGUAAGGUCCUUUCGGGGGUACACGAGUGGCGAACGGGUGAGUAACACGUGAGUAACCUGCCCUCAUCUCUGGGAUAACAGUCGGAAACGGUUGCUAAUACUGGAUAUGAGCUUGCAAGGCAUCUUGUGGGUUGGAAAGAUUUUUUUUGGUUGGGGAUGGACUCGCGGCCUAUCAGCUUGUUGGUGAGGUAGUGGCUCACCAAGGCUUCGACGGGUAGCCGGCCUGAGAGGGCGACCGGCCACAUUGGGACUGAGAUACGGCCCAAACUCCUACGGGAGGCAGCAGUGGGGAAUAUUGCACAAUGGACGGAAGUCUGAUGCAGCAACGCCGCGUGCGGGAUGACGGCCUUCGGGUUGUAAACCGCUUUCAAUUGUGACGAAGCUUUUUUGUGACGGUAGCAGUAGAAGAAGCACCGGCUAACUACGUG